AACGAACGCUGGCGGCAUGCCUAACACAUGCAAGUCGAACGAGAUCUUCGGGUCUAGUGGCGUACGGGUGCGUAACGCGUGGGAAUCUGCCCUUUGGUUCGGAAUAACAGUUGGAAACGACUGCUAAUACCGGAUGAUGACGAAAGUCCAAAGAUUUAUCGCCAGAGGAUGAGCCCGCGUAGGAUUAGCUAGUUGGUGUGGUAAAGGCGCACCAAGGCGACGAUCCUUAGCUGGUCUGAGAGGAUGAUCAGCCACACUGGGACUGAGACACGGCCCAGACUCCUACGGGAGGUAGCAGUGGGGAAUAUUGGACAAUGGGCGAAAGCCUGAUCCAGCAAUGCCGCGUGAGUGAUGAAGGCCUUAGGGUUGUAAAGCUCUUUUACCCGGGAUGAUAAUGACAGUACCGGGAGAAUAAGCUCCGGCUAACUCCGUGCCAGCCGCCGCGGUAA
Molecule: ribosomal RNA, 449 nt
Filed under: uncultured bacterium
Lineage: Bacteria
Description: partial 16S ribosomal RNA
Rfam family: Bacterial small subunit ribosomal RNA
Source: RNAcentral